UUGGGAAGUCCUCGUGUUGCACUCCC
Molecule: ribosomal RNA, 26 nt
Filed under: Blumea napifolia
Lineage: Eukaryota; Viridiplantae; Streptophyta; Magnoliopsida; Asterales; Asteraceae
Source: RNAcentral